GGCUUGGUCCUGACUUUACUAUAAGCUUUAACCCAACUUAUACAUGCAAGUCUCCGCACCCCUGUGAGAAUGCCCUCAAUCCCCCUGCCGGGGACGAGGAGCCGGUAUCAGGCACACCCAUUGAGCCCAAGACACCUUGCUUAGCCACACCCCCAAGGGAAUUCAGCAGUAAUAAACAUUAAGACAUAAGUGAAAACUUGACUUAAUUAGGGUUAAGAGGGCCGGUAAAAUCCGUGCCAGCCACCGCGGUUAUACGAAAGACCCCAGUUUAUAGAUACGGCGUAAAGGGUGGUUAAGAGGGAAACCAAAAUAAAGCUAAAGAUCCCCUAAGCAGUCAUACGCUCCACGGAGACACGAAACCCAAAUACGAAAGUUGCCUUAAAUAAACUUUACCUGACCCCACGAAAGCUGAAAAACAAACUGGGAUUAGAUACCCCACUAUGUUCAGCCUUAAACCCAGAUGAAAAUUUUACUAAAUCAUCCGCCAGGGUACUACAAGCACAGCUUAAAACCCAAAGGACUUGGCGGUGCCUCAGACCCACCUAGAGGAGCCUGUUCUAGAACCGAUAACCCCCGUUAAACCUCACCACCCCUUGCCUCUCCCGCCUAUAUACCGCCGUCGUCAGCUUUACCCUGGUGAAGGCCCAAUAGUAAGCAAAAUGGGUUUAACCCAAAACGUCAGGGUCGAGGUGUAGCGCACGAGGUGGGAAGAAAUGGGCUACAUUUUCUACCACAGAAUACUACGAAUAAUGCCCUGAAAACAGCAUCUGAAGGAGGAUUUAGCAGUAAAAAGUAAAUAGAGUGUACUUUUGAAUUAGGCUCUGAGGCGCGCACACACCGCCCGUCACUCUCCCCAUCACCACCAAUUUAACUAUUUCUAAUAUUAAUACAACAACACGGGGAGGCAAGUCGUAACAUGGUAAGUGUACCGGAAGGUGCACUUGGAAUAUC
Molecule: non-coding RNA, 951 nt
Filed under: Rineloricaria catamarcensis
Lineage: Eukaryota; Metazoa; Chordata; Actinopteri; Siluriformes; Loricariidae
Description: partial 12S ribosomal RNA
Rfam family: Bacterial small subunit ribosomal RNA
Source: RNAcentral